GAUGAACGCUGGCGGCGUGCCUAAUACAUGCAAGUCGAGCGAAGAGACGAGGAGCUUGCUCCUCUGACGUUAGCGGCGGACGGGUGAGUAACACGUGGAUAACCUACCUAUAAGACUGGGAUAACUUCGGGAAACCGGAGCUAAUACCGGAUAAUAUAUUGAACCGCAUGGUUCAAUAGUGAAAGACGGUUUUGCUGUCACUUAUAGAUGGAUCCGCGCCGCAUUAGCUAGUUGGUAAGGUAACGGCUUACCAAGGCAACGAUGCGUAGCCGACCUGAGAGGGUGAUCGGCCACACUGGAACUGAGACACGGUCCAGACUCCUACGGGAGGCAGCAGUAGGGAAUCUUCCGCAAUGGGCGAAAGCUUGACGGAGCAACGCCGCGUGAGUGAUGAAGGUCUUCGGAUCGUAAAACUCUGUUAUUAGGGAAGAACAAAUGUGUAAGUAACUAUGCACGUCUUGACGGUACCUAAUCAGAAAGCCACGGCUAACUACGUG
RNAcentral lists this ribosomal RNA (497 nucleotides) under uncultured bacterium. RNAcentral describes it as "partial 16S ribosomal RNA". It matches the Rfam family "Bacterial small subunit ribosomal RNA", at positions 28 to 507 of the family's 1533-position model. The record is from RNAcentral.